Long non-coding RNA from Anolis carolinensis (green anole), 754 nucleotides. RefSeq lists it as uncharacterized. Lineage: Eukaryota; Metazoa; Chordata; Lepidosauria; Squamata; Anolidae. The record is from RefSeq and is a predicted model, not a curated record. The transcript has 3 exons.
CAGUUUGCUGUUGAAGUGCUUCCCGACGUCACAGCCGAACCAUACUGCCUAAGGAGAGAGAAGGAGGGACGCAAGCUCAAGACCGGCCCUGACGACAAAGGGCCUUCUUAGCAGCUGUUCCCAGGCUCUGAAAUAUCCUUCCUAGAAGAACUAGACUGGCUAAGCAGAGCCAGUCCUAAUUAAGAAUUGGAUGAGAGACCACCAAGGAAUCCAGGUGCCAUUGAAUCUAUUUCCAAGAACUGGGAAAACCACUUUUGUAGAUCACUGAAAUCCAUAAGCCAACUUGAAGGCACAGACACACAGCACCACCAAUAACAACAACAGCCUUUGCCAGGAGAAGGAAGGUUUAUGCACACAAACCUUAUCCCAGAAGAAGAGAUGGGCCUGGCUGAACUCAAACUCCUCGAUGUUGAGCUUCUUCAUGAAUGGAAGACGCAUCACGUUCAGGCAGGAGAAAAUCCAGCAGCGGCCUGAAGAAAGAGACAGAGAGAACAAACUAUCAAAAUAGAAGCAGAGGAGAAAUGGAGACAUCCAAGCUAAGAAGUCUCCAAGGUGUUGUUGUGCAUUGAGGACUAGCGGCCACAAUCCCAAAUUCUGCAAUUCCCUUUCUUGGAAGUCCAGUCAGCUCCCUCCCUGUUGUUCUUCCGCCACCAGGCCUAUUGGAAAGGGGCAGCACUCUGCACAUGCUCAGAGUCCCGAUGGCAACGCACCUGGGAAACUCAUGCUGGAGCUGGAUGGCCUCGGAGGAGUCCCA